RNAcentral lists this ribosomal RNA (465 nucleotides) under uncultured bacterium. RNAcentral's name for it is "partial 16S ribosomal RNA". It matches the Rfam family "Bacterial small subunit ribosomal RNA", at positions 28 to 507 of the family's 1533-position model. The record is from RNAcentral.
GACGAACGCUGGCGGCGUGCUUAACACAUGCAAGUCGUACGGUAAGGCCCUUUCGGGGGUACACGAGUGGCGAACGGGUGAGUAACACGUGAGUAACCUGCCCACAACUUUGGGAUAACGCUAGGAAACUGGUGCUAAUACUGGAUAUGUGCUCCUGCUGCAUGGUGGGGGUUGGAAAGCUCCGGCGGUUGUGGAUGGACUCGCGGCCUAUCAGCUUGUUGGUGGGGUAGUGGCCUACCAAGGCGGCGACGGGUAGCCGGCCUGAGAGGGUGACCGGCCACAUUGGGACUGAGAUACGGCCCAGACUCUUACGGGAGGCAGCAGUGGGGAAUAUUGCACAAUGGGCGCAAGCCUGAUGCAGCAACGCCGCGUGCGGGAUGACGGCCUUCGGGUUGUAAACCGCUUUCAGCAGGGACGAAGCUUUUUGUGACGGUACCUGCAGAAGAAGCACCGGCUAACUACGUG